RNAcentral lists this ribosomal RNA (249 nucleotides) under uncultured bacterium. RNAcentral's name for it is "partial 16S ribosomal RNA". It matches the Rfam family "Bacterial small subunit ribosomal RNA", at positions 523 to 769 of the family's 1533-position model. The record is from RNAcentral.
AUACGUAGGGUGCGAGCGUUAAUCGGAAUUACUGGGCGUAAAGCGUGCGCAGGCGGUUUUGUAAGACAGAUGUGAAAUCCCCGGGCUUAACCUGGGGAACUGCGUUUGUGACUGCAAGACUCGAGUGUGGCAGAGGGGGGUGGGAAUUCCACGUGUAGCAGUGAAAUGCGUAGAGAUGUGGAGGAACACCGAUGGCGAAGGCAGCCCCCUGGGUCAACACUGACGCUCAUGCACGAAAGCGUGGGUAGC